GACGAACGCUGGCGGCGUGCUUAACACAUGCAAGUCGAACGGAAAGGCCCUGCUUUUGUGGGGUGCUCGAGUGGCGAACGGGUGAGUAACACGUGAGUAACCUGCCCUUGACUUUGGGAUAACUUCAGGAAACUGGGGCUAAUACCGGAUAGGAGCUCCUGCUGCAUGGUGGGGGUUGGAAAGUUUCGGCGGUUGGGGAUGGACUCGCGGCUUAUCAGCUUGUUGGUGGGGUAGUGGCUUACCAAGGCUUUGACGGGUAGCCGGCCUGAGAGGGUGACCGGCCACAUUGGGACUGAGAUACGGCCCAGACUCCUACGGGAGGCAGCAGUGGGGAAUAUGGCACAAUGGGCGGAGGCCGGAUGCAGCAACGCCGCGUGCGGGAUGACGGCCUUCGGGUUGUAAACCGCUUUCGCCUGGGACGAAGCGUGAGUGACGGUAAUGGGUAAAGAAGCACCGGCUAACUACGU
RNAcentral lists this ribosomal RNA (467 nucleotides) under uncultured bacterium. Its description in RNAcentral is "partial 16S ribosomal RNA". It matches the Rfam family "Bacterial small subunit ribosomal RNA", at positions 28 to 506 of the family's 1533-position model. The record is from RNAcentral.